RNAcentral lists this ribosomal RNA (465 nucleotides) under Vreelandella stevensii. RNAcentral describes it as "partial 16S ribosomal RNA". It matches the Rfam family "Bacterial small subunit ribosomal RNA", at positions 338 to 795 of the family's 1533-position model. The record is from RNAcentral. Lineage: Bacteria; Pseudomonadati; Pseudomonadota; Gammaproteobacteria; Oceanospirillales; Halomonadaceae.
CCUACGGGAGGCUGCAGUGGGGAAUAUUGGACAAUGGGCGAAAGCCUGAUCCAGCCAUGCCGCGUGUGUGAAGAAGGCCUUCGCGUUGUAAAGCACUUUCAGUGGGGAAGAAAGCCUUGGGGCUAAUACCCUCGAGGAAGGACAUCACCCACAGAAGAAGCACCGGCUAACUCCGUGCCAGCAGCCGCGGUAAUACGGAGGGUGCGAGCGUUAAUCGGAAUUACUGGGCGUAAAGCGCGCGUAGGCGGUCUGAUAAGCCGGUUGUGAAAGCCCCGGGCUCAACCUGGGAACGGCAUCCGGAACUGUCAGGCUAGAGUGCAGGAGAGGAAGGUAGAAUUCCCGGUGUAGCGGUGAAAUGCGUAGAGAUCGGGAGGAAUACCAGUGGCGAAGGCGGCCUUCUGGACUGACACUGACGCUGAGGUGCGAAAGCGUGGGUAGCAAACAGGAUUAGAUACCCGGGUAGUC